GCUCUAUUCUGUGAAUUUUCAUUAGGUGAAAUAUAAGUAACUGGAAUUUCCAAUAACUCUUUUUUCUCCCCCUCUUAACAGUGGAAUUUUUAAAGUGUGUUUAGUUUUGUAUUUGCAAAUGUGGAUUGGUAUUAAUGUGAUUUUAUAUGCAGCAAUCUAUUCAUCAAGAAAACUAAGUUUAUCAUCCUAAAAUAAGCAGGAAAAUUAUAUUCCAGCAGAUGCAUAAGUAAGGUUAUUUUAUUUAUUGAUAUAUUUUCCCUUAAUAAGUUAUGAUAUGAAGCUUUAGGGUGGAGAGCGAACCACAGUGUCUCAGGCACCAUAAUCUUGUAUUUUAGGCCUUGAAGCAUUGCUUGCUUUUUCAGUUAUUUGCUUCCACGAUUCUUCUAGUUUCUCACAUUGUUCCUCUGACCACCUACAGGAUGUGCAGGCAGCAGGCACCUUCUCUUGACAAUUCACAUGAAGUUCAAUCAAGGCGUGUUACGAUAAAUCUCGAACAAAAGAAAGAAAGAAAGAAAAGUAGUUGUGCUAAUGUUAUAAGUAUGAGCAUUGCAUAAAAUUAGUCAUACAUUGAAGAAAAUAAAAAAGAGUGAGGAGUUUAUAAGAUGAAAAACUCAUUUAUUAUUUGUUAUCUUAAAGUUUUGAAUUAGACGUGAUGUCUUCUCUUGUGUUAAGAGAGACAUGUAGUAUUGUUCUGAACUCUGAAAGAAAAGUAUAAGCUACGUUUCAGUGAAUUUUUAUUAGGGGAGAUAUAUGUUAAAAGUGGAAAUUUAAAUACACAAAUCCUUUUUAUCUUAUAAUUACA
Molecule: non-coding RNA, 802 nt
Organism: Arachis ipaensis
Lineage: Eukaryota; Viridiplantae; Streptophyta; Magnoliopsida; Fabales; Fabaceae
Source: RefSeq, a predicted model, not a curated record